GGGCCGGUAGCUCAGUUUGGGAGAGCGCAUGGUUCGCAAUCAUGAGGUCGGGGGUUCGAUCCCCCCUCGGUCCA
RNAcentral lists this transfer RNA (74 nucleotides) under Candidatus Omnitrophota bacterium. RNAcentral's name for it is "tRNA-Ala". It matches the Rfam family "tRNA". Rfam says of the family: Transfer RNA (tRNA) molecules are approximately 80 nucleotides in length. Their secondary structure includes four short double-helical elements and three loops (D, anti-codon, and T loops). Lineage: Bacteria; Pseudomonadati; Candidatus Omnitrophota. The record is from RNAcentral.